GACGAACGCUGGCGGCGUGCUUAACACAUGCAAGUCGAGCGGUAAGGCCCUUUCGGGGGUACACGAGCGGCGAACGGGUGAGUAACACGUGGGUGACCUGCCCUUAGCUCUGGGAUAAGCCUGGGAAACUGGGUCUAAUACCGGAUAUGACUCCAUGACGCAUGUUGUGGGGUGGAAAGCCUUGUGCGGCUAGGGAUGGGCCCGCGGCCUAUCAGCUUGUUGGUGGGGUNAUGGCCUACCAAGGCGACGACGGGUAGCCGGCCUGAGAGGGCGACCGGCCACACUGGGACUGAGACACGGCCCAGACUCCUACGGGAGGCAGCAGUGGGGAAUCUUGCGCAAUGGGCGAAAGCCUGACGCAGCGACGCCGCGUGAGGGAAGAAGGCCUUCGGGUCGUAACC
This 401-nucleotide ribosomal RNA is filed under the name uncultured bacterium. RNAcentral describes it as "bacterial SSU rRNA". It matches the Rfam family "Bacterial small subunit ribosomal RNA", at positions 28 to 430 of the family's 1533-position model. The record is from RNAcentral.